GAGGACAGGGAGGGGAAGCUUCUGGAAACAUGGGAACAUGGGGUGGGCAUGAGACCCUCGCAGAAGACAGAGAGCCUGAUGUUAGGAAGAGGCCCAAGGCCUCCAAAGGACCAGGCAGAUUUUCAGGGGGCAGGAGGGGGAAGGGCUGGUAAGAAAGGUCCUGUGAGAGAGGAAGCUGCUGUGAUUCAGAGAAGAGACUUCAAGCUGUGAGUGACCUUGGUUUCCGGUUCCUCUCACAGGCUGGAGAUUUCGGAAGUGGCAUGCAAAGAGCCUAGGUUUGGAGUUGGGGGGAGUUGGGUUUAGGAUCCCUAGGCUGGGGGUUGAGAGGUAAGAAAAGAAAACUUCAGUGUCCAAAUUUGUUCCUCCACCCGGAAGGCUUCUCUCUGGUUUCAAAGCACAUCAUUUCCCUCUCUGUGAGAGUUACAUAAAACCAAAGCAAAAUAAGCCCUGAUACCUUGGCCCCCAGACCUGCCUCUUUUCAAUGUCCCUCCCUGGUGUCUGGCCCCCAGCCCUAGUGGGGGUUCCCCUGAGAUGAGGGCUGUUCACUUUCUCUGACCACAUGGUUUCCGCUUCCGUGUGUCUUGUUUCCUAGGCUGAUAAAAAUACUGAGCCCUAGAGGCCCUGGCUUCCUCUGACCCCUUGAGGCCAAGACAGCAGGCAUCCUGUCCACCACAGUGGGGUGGGGAGGGGGGCCCAGGGAUCCCCAAGAGGUGACUCAGUGCCUACCAUGAAACACUGGGGAGGGGGAAGCAUGUGUAUCUUUUCUCUAGAGCGGGAACCAGGAGUUUAGUCUCAGUGGAGGCUGCGCUGGAGUUUGAUUUGAGAAACAAGAUUGGGAAAGAGACGAGUGAGAUGGAAAGGCAAUUUAGGGAUUGAGAUUGGGGCAGAUUUGGGUUAAGUUAGGAAAAAGAUCUGGGAGAAGCUAUUCAGUGCAGGUCAACUGAGCAUCUUGUAGCCCAAAGAUACAUUCAAACCCUGCUUCAAGUUUACAGUCCAGUAGGGGAGGCAGACCCAUACCUAGUUAACUGAGUCAAGGCUUGCUGAGUCAACUCCACAGUAAGGUUCAGUAGCUACAGAAAAGGGGCAGGUGAAUUCCAUCUGAAAACAUUGGAGGGGAGGCUCUGAGGAUGAGGGAGAGCAUUUGAAUUGGCUCUGAUGAGUGAGUAGGAUUUCAGUGGGUGGAAGGAGAUGGAGAAGCUCUGGAGGUAAGUAAAAUGGCUGGAGCACAGGCCGAGGAGUCAGAAAACCACAGGAUGUUCAGGGAAGAUGAGUGUCCUGAGGCAGAAGCAGCACAGGUAUGAGGGAGCAUGUAGUGAAGAAAAGACCACAGAAUGCCCGGCUCAGGGAUUUGGACUUUACCCUGUGAGCAGUGGCACUGGUGACAGCUGUGAAGAAGAGGGAGAACAGGGGAGCACUGCAGAGUGCAGGCAAGGGAUGAAAUAGAAAACAACUGUCGAUGGAAAACCAGUGUUCCCCCCCAAGAAAAGAGAAGAACUGUCUGGUUUUGGAUACCUACUAUGUGUUACACAGUCCUCUUCCUAACAUCAGCAAUCCUUUCAUCAUCUGUUCAAAAGGUGGGUGGUGGGUCCCCAUUAUAAAGAUGAGAAAAACCGAGGCCCAUAAACGUACUGUAAUUCACUUAAGGCCACAAAGCUAAGAAGUAGUGGAAUUAGCAUUAAAUUCAUCUGACUCCAAAA
Molecule: long non-coding RNA, 1697 nt
Organism: Galeopterus variegatus (Sunda flying lemur)
Lineage: Eukaryota; Metazoa; Chordata; Mammalia; Dermoptera; Cynocephalidae
Exons: 2
Source: RefSeq, a predicted model, not a curated record